AGCCUGAUAACUCCUUUUUCAUGAACCAACAAGAUUGAAACCCAAAGACCACACGUAAAUUGAAAACUUGAACUCUUCCCUACCCUUGGUCCUUUAAUACAUUAUGAAAUAAACAUUAGGCCAUAAAUAUUGAGGGUUUAGGUAGAUACAUCACGGUGGUUUAAAAAAAGGAGUGAAAAAUGAAGAAACAAUGUGAUACAUUGAUUAUAGGUCAAAAAAAUGUGCGAAAAAGAAAAAUCCAAAAAAAAAAAAGUCAAAAGUAAAAAUGAGAAGAAAAAUUAUAGAAUGGAAACAAAAGCAUUGUGACUGAGAAAAGAGUAAAAGUUCAAGUGACAAAAUAAUAAGUUACAAAAAUGAGAGAAAACUAAAUCACCAAAG
Molecule: long non-coding RNA, 378 nt
Filed under: Gossypium raimondii (Peruvian cotton)
Lineage: Eukaryota; Viridiplantae; Streptophyta; Magnoliopsida; Malvales; Malvaceae
Description: long non-coding RNA (GRAI_LNC008588)
Source: RNAcentral